UACGUAGGGUGCGAGCGUUAAUCGGAAUUACUGGGCGUAAAGUGUGCGCAGGCGGCCGAGCAAGUCGAGUGUGAAAUCCCCGGGCUUAACUUGGGAAUUGCGCUCGAAACUACUUGGCUGGAGUGUGGCAGAGGAAGGUGGAAUUCCACGUGUAGCGGUGAAAUGCGUAGAUAUCGGGAGGAACACCAGUGGCGAAGGCGACUACCUGGCCUGUUUCUUGACGCUGAGGCGCGAAAGCUAGGGGAGCAAACGGG
Molecule: ribosomal RNA, 254 nt
Filed under: uncultured bacterium
Lineage: Bacteria
Description: partial 16S ribosomal RNA
Rfam family: Bacterial small subunit ribosomal RNA
Source: RNAcentral